RNAcentral lists this long non-coding RNA (752 nucleotides) under Medicago truncatula (barrel medic). Its description in RNAcentral is "long non-coding RNA (MTRU_LNC003739)". The record is from RNAcentral. Lineage: Eukaryota; Viridiplantae; Streptophyta; Magnoliopsida; Fabales; Fabaceae.
AUCAAUUUAACUUUUUAAAAAUCAAAAUGUUGUUGAAACCAAUGCAAACAUGUUACUUUUGACUCCAAUCCAACUCAAGUAGAUUUACUAUUGUUAAUUUAUUUGUUUAGAGAACAAAUAUACUAAAAUCCUUCGAUUUGUGAAUGUAAGGUAGAUAAAUAAAUAGUUCAUGAAUAUAGUUCAGUUAGUAGAAAUAAUGCAUUGUAAAUAUAUAGGUCAGGGUUCGAAUCUAAGACACCCAACUUAUUCACCUUAAAAAAUUGAAUUAUAGUCAUUAUGCUACUUGACAAAAAAAAAUGCAAAAAUAUGUUAUAUCUUAUAAAAAAAAAGUAUUUUUACUAAAAUAUGUUAAGUCUUGUCAAAAAAAUAAUACUAUUGAUGUAUUUAUCAUUAUUAUAAAUGUAUAAUAGACGAUGUUGCAUUGAAAGUAAUGCAUCACCACCAAUCCAACUCAACUAGAUUUACUAUUGUUAAUUUAUUUGUUUAGAAAACAAAUAUACUAAAAUCCUACGAUUUGUGAAUGUAAGGUAGAACUUCCCUAAUUAAGAAUUUGUAAUCCAUCCUCACAUUAUUUAGUGGCUCUGCACCACAACUAUUUCAAAAUGCACUAACUAGGUAAUAUAUAUUGUAUAUUGCAGUUUCUCCUAAAAUUAUUCUAACCUCCCCUAAUGUAUUUGCAAAUAUCUCUCACACCCCUCUAUUUGCAAAUGAUCGUGUGAUUCAUCAGUUAACAUAAAUAUUUUAUAUUUAUA